AUGCCAAUUAAUUUAACUUGGGAGUCAGAACAUGGGUGAUAAGGUCCGUGUUCGAAAGGGAAACAGCCCAGACCACCAGCUAAGGUCCCAAAAUAUAUGUUAAGUGGAAAAGGAUGUGGCGUUGCCCAGACAACUAGGAUGUUGGCUUAGAAGCAGCCAUCAUUUAAAGAGUGCGUAAUAGCUCACUAGUCGAGUGACACUGCGCCGAAAAUGUACCGGGGCUAAACAUAUUACCGAAGCUGUGGAUUGUCCUUUGGACAAUGGUAGGAGAGCGUUCUAAGGGCGUUGAAGCAUGAUCGUAAGGACAUGUGGAGCGCUUAGAAGUGAGAAUGCCGGUGUGAGUAGCGAAAGACGGGUGAGAAUCCCGUCCACCGAUUGACUAAGGUUUCCAGAGGAAGGCUCGUCCGCUCUGGGUUAGUCGGGUCCUAAGCUGAGGCCGACAGGCGUAGGCGAUGGAUAACAGGUUGAUAUUCCUGUACCACCUAUAAUCGUUUUAAUCGAUGGGGGGACGCAGUAGGAUAG
This 522-nucleotide ribosomal RNA is filed under the name Staphylococcus aureus. RNAcentral's name for it is "partial 23S ribosomal RNA". It matches the Rfam family "Bacterial large subunit ribosomal RNA", at positions 960 to 1485 of the family's 2925-position model. Lineage: Bacteria; Bacillati; Bacillota; Bacilli; Caryophanales; Staphylococcaceae. The record is from RNAcentral.